This 477-nucleotide ribosomal RNA is filed under the name Candidatus Scalindua brodae. RNAcentral's name for it is "bacterial SSU rRNA". It matches the Rfam family "Bacterial small subunit ribosomal RNA", at positions 365 to 832 of the family's 1533-position model. Lineage: Bacteria; Pseudomonadati; Planctomycetota; Candidatus Brocadiia; Candidatus Brocadiales; Candidatus Scalinduaceae. The record is from RNAcentral.
UUCGCAAUGCCCGAAAGGGUGACGAAGCGACGCCGCGUGGGUGAGGAAGGCCUUCGGGUUGUAAAGCCCUGUCAGGAGUUAAGAAAUGUAAGUGUGCUAAUAUCGCAUUUACUUGACGAAGGCUCCAAAGGAAGUCACGGCUAACUCUGUGCCAGCAGCCGCGGUAAUACAGAGGUGGCAAGCGUUGUUCGGAAUUAUUGGGCGGAAAGAGCACGUAGGUGGGUUUGUAAGUCAGAUGUGAAAGCCUCCUGUUCAACGGGAGAAUUGCAUCUGAAACUACUGAUCUUGAGUAUAGGAGGGGAGAAUGGAACUUCUGGUGGAGCGGUGAAAUGCGUAGAUAUCAGAAGGAACGCCGGCGGCGAAAGCGAUUCUCUGGCCUAUUACUGACACUCAGUGUGCGAAAGCUAGGGGAGCAAACGGGAUUAGAUACCCCGGUAGUCCUAGCCGUAAACGAUGGGCACUAAGUAGAGGGGUUUU